CGAACGGGAUUCAAAGUAGCAAUAUUUUGAUGAGAGUGGCGCACGGGUGAGUAACACGUAUGCAAUAUACCUUUAACUGGGGGAUAGCCCUCCGAAAGGAGAUUAAUACCGCAUAAUAUAUUGAAAUGGCAUCAUUUUAAUAUUAAACCUACGGGGGUUAAAGAUGAGCAUGCAUCCGAUUAGCUAGUUGGUUUGGUAACGGCUCACCAAGGCAACGAUCGGUAGGGGGUCUGAGAGGAUGAUCCCCCACACUGGUACUGAGACACGGACCAGACUCCUACGGGAGGCAGCAGUAGGGAAUAUUGGACAAUGGAGGCAACUCUGAUCCAGCCAUGCCGCGUGAAGGAUUAAGGCCCUAUGGGUUGUAAACUUCUUAUAGACGGGACAAAACCCCUUUACGUGUAAAGGGUUGAUGGUACUGUCAUAAUAAGCAUCGGCUAACUUCGUGCCAGCAGCCGCGGUAAUACGAAGGAUGCAGGCGUUAUCCGGAAUUAUUGGGUUUAAAGGGUGCGUAGGCGGACUAAUAAGUCAGUGGAGAAAGCCUGCAGCUUAACUGCAGAAUUGCCGUUGAUACUGUUAGUCUUGAGUACAGUUGAGGUAGGCGGAAUGUGUCAUGUAGCGGUGAGAUGCUUAGAUAUGACACAGAACACCGAUGGCGAAGGCAGCUUGCUAAGCUGUAACUGACGCUGAGGCACGAAAGCGUGGGGAGCAAACAGGAUUAGAUACCCUGGUAGUCCACGCCCUAUACGAUGAUAACUCGCUGUUGGCGAUACACUGUCAGCAGCCAAGCGAAGGCAUUAAGUUAUCCAC
Molecule: ribosomal RNA, 810 nt
Filed under: uncultured bacterium
Lineage: Bacteria
Description: bacterial SSU rRNA
Rfam family: Bacterial small subunit ribosomal RNA
Source: RNAcentral